Molecule: long non-coding RNA, 941 nt
Filed under: Zostera marina
Lineage: Eukaryota; Viridiplantae; Streptophyta; Magnoliopsida; Alismatales; Zosteraceae
Description: long non-coding RNA (ZMAR_LNC005044)
Source: RNAcentral
CUUCUUCUAAUCAUUUGGGGAAUACUGGUUCGAACGACCUGAGGAACAACUGCUAUAUGACUGUAAGUAAUAAGAUAAACAAAAAAGAGAGAGUGGGGACGUGUAAAGGAGAAUGUAAAGGGAAACAACGGAGUGAAAGACUGAGAGUAGUAGGAGACAUAAGUGAUUAAAAAAGGGAACAAGAAAUAUUUAUAUAGAGGGAUUCACAAUAAUUUCGAGGAUAAUGGUUUGAACCAUUUCUAGAACAUUGAUUUGACCCAAUUUAGGGACAAUGGUUUCAACUAUUUAUGGAACUAUGAUUUGGACUGUCGCAGGGACAAUGGUCUGAACCGUUGGACGAACAAUGAUUUGAGCCGUCGGGUGAACAAUGGUUUGACUAAUCGGACGAACAAUGGUUUCAGUCGUUGGAGGAACAAUGGUUUGAACUUUUGGAAAAACAAUGGUUUGAACUUUUGGAAAAACAAUGGUUUGGGCUAAUUAAGGACGUCGGUUUGAAGUGUUUGAGGGACGUGAAAAACAAUGAUUCAAACCAUUACAGUGACGUUGUUUAAAAAAAUUCAAACAAAAAAGAUUAGAAUUAUUCAAAAAACAACGUGUUAAACUCUUUGUCUGAGAAAGUGUAUUACACCAAUGAAAAACAAAACAGAUAAUAUAAGAACCUGCGUAGGAGACAACAAAAAAAACGUAGGAGAAGAUGUGUUUUCAACGAGAACAAAAAGAAAAAUGGGUUUGUAUGAACGAAGAAUAGGAGAUGAAGAGAUUGAUGAUUUUCGGACGAAAAAAAAUGAAUUGCAAAUAUGUACAGAUUGAAGUUGUGUUUCCAGCGAGAAAAAGAAGAAAAUGGGUUUCCACCGGCGAGUUCAAAAAAGAAAAAGAAGAUGAUUGUGAGAAAAAAUGAAGAAAAAGACGAUCGAGUAGAGGUGAGAUUGCGUGUGAGAUAA